RNAcentral lists this transfer RNA (75 nucleotides) under Paenalicyclobacillus contaminans. Its description in RNAcentral is "Alicyclobacillus contaminans tRNA-Ala". The record is from RNAcentral. Lineage: Bacteria; Bacillati; Bacillota; Bacilli; Caryophanales; Alicyclobacillaceae.
UCCGCACGUGGCGGGUUCCCCAGGCGUCCAUUGUUCGCUACAAUGAGUGGCAAUGCGACGCCGCCCGUGCGGGAC